UACGGAGGGUGCAAGCGUUAUCCGGAUUCAUUGGGUUUAAAGGGUGCGCAGGCGGGCUUGUAAGUCAGUGGUGAAAUCUUGCCGCUUAACGGUAAAAUUGCCAUUGAUACUGCAGGUCUUGAGUAUGGUUGAGGUAGGUGGAAUGUGUUGUGUAGCGGUGAAAUGCAUAGAUAUGACACAGAACGCCAAUUGCGAAGGCAACUUACUAAGCCAUUACUGACGCUGAGGCACGAAAGCGUGGGGAGCGAACAGG
RNAcentral lists this ribosomal RNA (253 nucleotides) under uncultured bacterium. Its description in RNAcentral is "partial 16S ribosomal RNA". It matches the Rfam family "Bacterial small subunit ribosomal RNA", at positions 524 to 776 of the family's 1533-position model. The record is from RNAcentral.